AAUUCAAGAUGAGAUUUGGGUGGAGACACAGCCAAACCAUAUCAUUGACUGACUUAAAUUCAACAGAACUGUGCUUUGGAGGACAUCGUUGCGCUGCUGACUUCUAACACUGAGGCUGGAGUGCAAUGACAUGAUGUUGGCUCACCGCAACCUCCGCCUCCCAGGUUCAAGUGAUUCUCCUGCCUCAGCCUCCCGAGUAGCUGGGAUUACGGAGAGAAGGGAGAUUGUGAAAGGUACAAGAGGCAGGGGAGCAGCCCACUGAGCUACCCCAGGAAUUUCCCUGACAAUCAGUUUUAAGGAGGACAUGCAGAAGUUGAAGAUGUGGAACACACAUCCCAUCUAAGGGGUGACAUCCUUCAGUUUGUGGACAGCUGGUCUAAUUCACUGGAGGAGGAACACAGCUCCCCUGGGGCCAUGCUCUGGCCACAGAACAGUGUGCAAGAGGUCAUUUAUGUUCAGGUGAUCCUGCCUUAUCCUGGAGAAAGAAAUGUUAUGCAAGAGGCCAAGAAGAAGCUAAACAAACAAGCCAUGAUGGAUUCCCAUCUCAGCUUAUUACCAUUGGGACAUGUCCUUUUUGUCCAAUCACAUUUCUACAUGGCAGUACAGUCUUCAUCAAACCUAAGCAUUAAAAAAAAAGUUUUCUCUGGGUCUUUGGGUCUUUUGUUUCGGAAGGCUCCUGUAU
This 682-nucleotide long non-coding RNA is filed under the name Homo sapiens (human). RNAcentral's name for it is "HSALNT0373314". Lineage: Eukaryota; Metazoa; Chordata; Mammalia; Primates; Hominidae. The record is from RNAcentral.